GACGAACGCUGGCGGCGUGCUUAACACAUGCAAGUCGAACGGAGCACCCUUGAAGGAGUUUUCGGACAACGGAUAGGAAUGCUUAGUGGCGGACUGGUGAGUAACGCGUGAGGAACCUGCCUUCCAGAGGGGGACAACAGUUGGAAACGACUGCUAAUACCGCAUGAUGCGUUGGAGCCGCAUGACUCCGACGUCAAAGAUUUAUCGCUGGAAGAUGGCCUCGCGUCUGAUUAGCUAGUUGGUGAGGUAACGGCCCACCAAGGCGACGAUCAGUAGCCGGACUGAGAGGUUGGCCGGCCACAUUGGGACUGAGAUACGGCCCAGACUCCUACGGGAGGCAGCAGUGGGGAAUAUUGGGCAAUGGACGCAAGUCUGACCCAGCAACGCCGCGUGAAGGAAGAAGGCUUUCGGGUUGUAAACUUCUUUUAAGGGGGAAGAGCAGAAGACG
This 448-nucleotide ribosomal RNA is filed under the name uncultured bacterium. Its description in RNAcentral is "bacterial SSU rRNA". It matches the Rfam family "Bacterial small subunit ribosomal RNA", at positions 28 to 458 of the family's 1533-position model. The record is from RNAcentral.